Mirounga angustirostris (Northern elephant seal) is the source of this 348-nucleotide long non-coding RNA. RefSeq lists it as uncharacterized. The transcript has 2 exons. Lineage: Eukaryota; Metazoa; Chordata; Mammalia; Carnivora; Phocidae. The record is from RefSeq and is a predicted model, not a curated record.
GCAGCCUGAUGCAGAGCUCGAUCCCAGGACCCCGGGAUCACGACCCGAGCCGAAGGCAGACACCUAACUGACUGAGUCACCCAGAGGCAGAGUUGCAGUUGUGACAGACCACGUGGCCUACAAAACUGAAAAUACUGACUUUGACCCUUGGGGCGCCUGGGUCGCUCAGUCGUUAAGCGUCUGCCUUCGGCUCAGAUCAUGAUCCCAGGGUCCUGGGAUCGAGUCCCACAUCGGAAUCCAUGCUCGGCGGGAAGCCUGCUUCUCCCUCUCCCACUCCCCCGCUUGUGUUCCCUCACUUGCUGUGUCUCUCUCUGUCAAAGAAAUAAAAUCUUUUUCUUUUUUUUUUAA